CCUACGGGGGGCAGCAGUCGGGAAUAUUGCGCAAUGGAGGAAACUCUGACGCAGUGACGUCGCGUGCAGGCAGAAGGUUUUCGGAUUGUAAACUGCUUUAGAUAGGGACGUAAAAAGAUAGUAGCUGUAGUAUUUGCAUCUGCUAACUACGUGCCAGCAGCCGAGGUAAUACGUAGGUAGCAAGCGUUAUCCGGAUUUAUUGGGUGUAUAGGGUGCGUAGACGGAGAAGCAAGUUAGUUGUGAAAUCCCGCGGCUUAACUGAGGAACUGCAACUAAAACUUGUUACCUUGUGUACUGGUGAGGAAGGUGGAAUGCGUAGUGUAGCGGUGAAAUGCGUAGAUAUUAGGCGGAACACCGGUGGCGAAGGCGACUUUCUGGACAGUAACUGACGUUGAGGCACGAAAGUGUGGGGAGCAAACAGGAUUAGAUACCCGUGUAGUC
Molecule: ribosomal RNA, 441 nt
Filed under: uncultured bacterium
Lineage: Bacteria
Description: partial 16S ribosomal RNA
Rfam family: Bacterial small subunit ribosomal RNA
Source: RNAcentral